Molecule: long non-coding RNA, 599 nt
Filed under: Olea europaea subsp. europaea
Lineage: Eukaryota; Viridiplantae; Streptophyta; Magnoliopsida; Lamiales; Oleaceae
Source: RNAcentral
CCCACCUUUCCAGAUGUAGCAACAAAGUACAGUUUUAAUUUAUAGACGGGUGGUUUCCAUUAAAUCGACCCGUCUCGAAGCCACGAUUUCAUGGAAAAAUCUAUCAAUUUUGUUGUCUAUUGUAGAACCCAAUACAAUCAAAACCUGAACAGAAUCAACAUUUCUAGAUUUAACAGCCAGGGACAAGUCAGAUUCUCCCUUUAAAUCCCUUCCAUUUACAUCUGUACUAGCCUCAAUCAGGCCCGAAACGAAAUAUGAAUUUCCAUUCUUUACAACAAAUCUAAGCAAAUAACUUAACUGAAAGUCAUCACACCGAGAAAUUGCUUUUGAAAACAAGAAAUUCAUUUCCAGGGUCUAGUCUGAAGGCGAAAGAAGAAAUUCAACAACUUAGGGUCCAACAAAUGAGAUCGGUAUCGUAGCAUCUUUGAAUAUAUGCAGGCCGAGCUUUGAAACACAGUCGUCGAAGAUCAUCCUGAUGGGCUUUUUCGAUAGGCAGCAUCGAUGAUCGAACAAGGGCUAUCUCGAUGACAUUGAUAGCGGCGGCUGAUUCAGAAAUAGAGUGAGAGAUAGAGUUGAGAGAGAUGGGAUGAGAGAGAAAC